UACGUAGGGGGCAAGCGUUGUUCGGAAUUACUGGGCGUAAAGGGCGCGUAGGCGGCCUGUUAAGUCGAACGUGAAAUCCCCGGGCUCAACCCGGGAACUGCGUCCGAUACUGGCAGGCUUGAAUCCGGGAGAGGGAUGCGGAAUUCCAGGUGUAGCGGUGAAAUGCGUAGAUAUCUGGAGGAACACCGGUGGCGAAGGCGGCAUCCUGGACCGGUAUUGACGCUGAGGCGCGAAAGCAUGGGGAGCGAACAGG
Molecule: ribosomal RNA, 253 nt
Filed under: uncultured bacterium
Lineage: Bacteria
Description: partial 16S ribosomal RNA
Rfam family: Bacterial small subunit ribosomal RNA
Source: RNAcentral